RNAcentral lists this transfer RNA (89 nucleotides) under Verrucomicrobiia bacterium. RNAcentral's name for it is "tRNA-Ser". It matches the Rfam family "tRNA". From Rfam's summary of the family: Transfer RNA (tRNA) molecules are approximately 80 nucleotides in length. The record is from RNAcentral. Lineage: Bacteria; Pseudomonadati; Verrucomicrobiota; Verrucomicrobiia.
GGUGGGAUGGCAGAGCCCGGUUUAAUGCAGCUGUCUCGAAAGCAGCCAGGGUGUAACAGCCCUCGGGGGUUCGAAUCCCCCUCCCGCCA